Molecule: long non-coding RNA, 237 nt
Filed under: Panax ginseng (ginseng)
Lineage: Eukaryota; Viridiplantae; Streptophyta; Magnoliopsida; Apiales; Araliaceae
Description: long non-coding RNA (PGIN_LNC005010)
Source: RNAcentral
UUUCACAAAAGUAGUGACAUUACUUGAAAAUUCUAUCUCAAAUCCUUUUGAUUGGGUUACUUAUCCACUGGGCUUCGUCCCUUGAUCAAUUUCGAAAAGAUUAGGAGGUUAAACAUCAUCAAAUCAUCUUCCAAUCAACCCCAAAACUCAGAAAUUCUGCUAAAUCACGAAACUCCAAAAAAACCUAAAAAUUGAUUCAAAUCCCAUCAAAUCAUUUCAAUAGAGCCUGAAAAUGAC